Molecule: ribosomal RNA, 142 nt
Filed under: uncultured eukaryote
Lineage: Eukaryota
Description: partial 18S ribosomal RNA
Rfam family: Eukaryotic small subunit ribosomal RNA
Source: RNAcentral
UGGUGGAGUGAUUUGUCUGGUUAAUUCCGAUAACGAACGAGAUCUCAGCAUGCUAAAUAGUCCGCAGUGCGUCCGCGAGGCGCGCCGACUUCUUAGAUGGGACAGCUGACUUCCAAGUCAGAGGAGGUUUGAGGCAAUAACA